Podarcis lilfordi (Lilford's wall lizard) is the source of this 73-nucleotide non-coding RNA. NCBI's taxonomy places the organism in Eukaryota, Metazoa, Chordata, Lepidosauria, Squamata, Lacertidae. The record is from the annotation of a GenBank genome assembly.
AGUUGGAUAGCUCAGUCAUUAGAGCAUGGGACUCUUAAUCUCAGGGUUGCAGGUUCGAGCCCCACGUUGGGUG